Molecule: long non-coding RNA, 225 nt
Organism: Hipposideros armiger (great roundleaf bat)
Lineage: Eukaryota; Metazoa; Chordata; Mammalia; Chiroptera; Hipposideridae
Exons: 3
Source: RefSeq, a predicted model, not a curated record
GUUUUGAAGAGAGUUAAACAAGUGGAAGUCUGGCGGCACAAGUUUCAAAUGCUACUGGUGAUUAGAAUUGUUCUCCCAAGGCAAUUCGAAAUGGAACUAGACACAGAGUCCUGAAAAGGGAGAAAUGAAAAGGAAAGGAUGGCAUUUUGACAGAGGCCUGCCCUGCAGUGGGGUGUGAGUAUGGAUUGGGCACUGCAAUGCCCGCAUCGAGGCCUUAAGGUAGAG